AAGUGCUCCACCCCAGGGCCCUGAUCAUUCAUACAUAUAAAAUGCAAAAAUAACACAUUUCCCUGGGGCUAGCCUUCUGCAUUACACAAAGUGGAAACCUUGCACAAUGUGGGGAGAUACAUAGAUUCCAUCCAGCACAAUUCCCUGCUUUCGGUCACAACGUGUACACAUAAACUGCCACACACACUGGCAAACAUGCAGAUACAAAUACACAGUUACACACAGGGACACACAGAUACAAACACUGAAAUACAUACAGAUAAACAGACACAAAGAUACAAACACUGACAUACAUACAGAUA
This is a non-coding RNA of Pelobates cultripes (western spadefoot toad), 302 nucleotides long. The record is from the annotation of a GenBank genome assembly. Lineage: Eukaryota; Metazoa; Chordata; Amphibia; Anura; Pelobatidae.